CAGUCGCCGCGGUAAUACGUAGGUGGCAAGCGUUGUCCGGAAUUAUUGGGUGUAAAGGGCUCGCAGGCGGUUUCUUAAGUCUGAUGUGAAAGCCCCCGGCUCAACCGGGGAGGGUCAUUGGAAACUGGGAAACUUGAGUGCAGAAGAGGAGAGUGGAAUUCCACGUGUAGCGGUGAAAUGCGUAGAGAUGUGGAGGAACACCAGUGGCGAAGGCGACUCUCUGGUCUGUAACUGACGCUGAGGAGCGAAAGCGUGGGGAGCGAACAGGAUUAGAGACCCCUGUAGUCCCUGUCUCUUAUAA
RNAcentral lists this ribosomal RNA (301 nucleotides) under uncultured bacterium. RNAcentral's name for it is "partial 16S ribosomal RNA". It matches the Rfam family "Bacterial small subunit ribosomal RNA", at positions 509 to 809 of the family's 1533-position model. The record is from RNAcentral.